This 480-nucleotide ribosomal RNA is filed under the name Bifidobacterium breve. Its description in RNAcentral is "bacterial SSU rRNA". It matches the Rfam family "Bacterial small subunit ribosomal RNA", at positions 173 to 666 of the family's 1533-position model. Lineage: Bacteria; Bacillati; Actinomycetota; Actinomycetes; Bifidobacteriales; Bifidobacteriaceae. The record is from RNAcentral.
CUCCAUCACACCGCAUGGUGUGUUGGGAAAGCCUUUGCGGCAUGGGAUGGGGUCGCGUCCUAUCAGCUUGAUGGCGGGGUAACGGCCCACCAUGGCUUCGACGGGUAGCCGGCCUGAGAGGGCGACCGGCCACAUUGGGACUGAGAUACGGCCCAGACUCCUACGGGAGGCAGCAGUGGGGAAUAUUGCACAAUGGGCGCAAGCCUGAUGCACCGACGCCGCGUGAGGGAUGGAGGCCUUCGGUUUGUAAAAUUCUUUUGUUGGGGAGCAAGGCACUUUGUGUUGAGUGUACCUUUCGAAUUAGCACCGGCUAACUACGUGCCAGCAGCCGCGGUAAUACGUAGGGUGCAAGCGUUAUCCGGAAUUAUUGGGCGUAAAGGGCUCGUAGGCGGUUCGUCGCGUCCGGUGUGAAAGUCCAUCGCUUAACGGUGGAUCCGCGCCGGGUACGGGCGGGCUUGAGUGCGGUAGGGGAGACUGGAA